GAAGGUUUUCGGAUCGUAAAACUCUUGUUGUCAGGGAAGAACAAGUACCGGAGUAUCUGCCGGUACCUUGACGGUACCUGACCAGAAAGCCACGGCUAACUACGUGCCAGCAGCCGCGGUAAUACGUAGGUGGCAAGCGUUGUCCGGAAUUAUUGGGCGUAAAGCGCGCGCAGGCGGUUCCUUAAGUCUGAUGUGAAAGCCCCCGGCUCAACCGGGGAGGGUCAUUGGAAACUGGGGAACUUGAGUGCAGAAGAGAAGAGUGGAAUUCCACGUGUAGCGGUGAAAUGCGUAGAGAUGUGGAGGAACACCAGUGGCGAAGGCGACUCUCUGGUCUGUAACUGACGCUGAGGCGCGAAAGCGUGGGGAGCAAACAGGAUUAGAUACCCUGGUAGUCCACGCCGUAUACGAUGAGUGCUAAGU
Molecule: ribosomal RNA, 420 nt
Filed under: Cytobacillus firmus
Lineage: Bacteria; Bacillati; Bacillota; Bacilli; Caryophanales; Bacillaceae
Description: bacterial SSU rRNA
Rfam family: Bacterial small subunit ribosomal RNA
Source: RNAcentral